This 101-nucleotide Y RNA is filed under the name Colobus angolensis palliatus. Its description in RNAcentral is "Y RNA (ENSCANG00000017672.1)". It matches the Rfam family "Y RNA". From Rfam's summary of the family: Y RNAs are components of the Ro ribonucleoprotein particle (Ro RNP), in association with Ro60 and La proteins. The record is from Rfam by way of RNAcentral. Lineage: Eukaryota; Metazoa; Chordata; Mammalia; Primates; Cercopithecidae.
GGCUGAUCUGAGGCAGUGAUGUUUACAACUGAUUGAUCAUAACCAGUUACAGAUUCCUUUGUUCCUUCUCCACUCCCACUGCUUCACUUGACUAGCCUUAA